RNAcentral lists this ribosomal RNA (372 nucleotides) under uncultured bacterium. RNAcentral describes it as "bacterial SSU rRNA". It matches the Rfam family "Bacterial small subunit ribosomal RNA", at positions 524 to 898 of the family's 1533-position model. The record is from RNAcentral.
UACGGAGGAUCCAAGCGUUAUCCGGAUUUAUUGGGUUUAAAGGGAGCGUAGAUGGAUGUUUAAGUCAGUUGUGAAAGUUCGGGGCUCAACCCCGGAAUUGCAGUUGAUACUGGAUAUCUUGAGUACAGUUGAGGUAGGCGGAAUUCGUGGUGUAGCGGUGAAAUGCUUAGAUAUCACGGAGAACUCCGAUUGCGAAGGCAGCUUACUAAGCUGUAACUGACAUUGAGGCUCGAAAGUGUGGGUAUCAAACAGGAUUAGAUACCCUGGUAGUCCACACGGUAAACUAUGGAUACUCGCUGUAGGCGAUACACAGUCUGCGGCCAAGCGAAAGCAUUAAGUAUCCCACCUGGGGAGUACGCCGGCAACGGUGAA